GCUCCCGUAGCAUCAGCUGGAGAGAGCGCCGUCGGCAAUAAUGCUGGUGGAGGUCGCGGGUUCAACUCCCGUCGGGAGCC
This 80-nucleotide transfer RNA is filed under the name Martinezella rhizogenes. Its description in RNAcentral is "tRNA-Ile". Lineage: Bacteria; Pseudomonadati; Pseudomonadota; Alphaproteobacteria; Hyphomicrobiales; Rhizobiaceae. The record is from RNAcentral.